GACGUAGGGCGCGAGCGUUGUCCGGAUUUAUUGGGCGUAAAGAGCUCGUAGGCGGCUUGUCGCGUCGACUGUGAAAUCCCGCGGCUCAACUGCGGGUCUGCAGUCGAUACGGGCAGGCUAGAGUUCGGUAGGGGAGACUGGAAUUCCUGGUGUAGCGGUGAAAUGCGUAGAUAUCAAGAGGAACACCUGAGGCGAAGGCGGGUUGCUAGGCUGACACUGACGCUGAGUGCGCGAAAGCCAGGGGAGCAAACGGG
Molecule: ribosomal RNA, 254 nt
Filed under: uncultured bacterium
Lineage: Bacteria
Description: partial 16S ribosomal RNA
Rfam family: Bacterial small subunit ribosomal RNA
Source: RNAcentral